GGAUAUUAAAGUGAGCCUCCCAAAGGAAAACGUGGAUCUACUUACCAACGCAGAAAAUGAUACACACGGAUUCGAUUUAGGCACGCUACAUUCAAAUGACUUGGAAGAGCAGUUUCUCUGAGCCAGGAUACUAAAGUCCGUGUUUAGGAAAGAGCCACAUUGUAUGUUUACCCUACCACAAAGAUACAGUCAUGUGCCUGGGAAAGAUUGAUGCCAGCUCCAGAAAGGCAUCUGAAUGGUCUAAGUAAUGCCAUCCAUCUGUCAGUAAUAGAUUCAGAAAUGGAAUUCUGGAGGAAAGUGGCUCUGGGAAUUGAACAGUGGCUCAGUGAUGUUGGGGCCACCAAGUCUGCAAUUCUCCCGACCUGUUCUUCACGGUUGUAAGAUGACUGCUGCAAUUCUCGGCAUCAUGUGCAUGUUAAUGUCAGGAGGAAGAGAGGAAGAGGGAGCACUGGGAUGUUACACUCAUUUUGUCAGGAAAAGCAAAGCCUUUCCAGACAGCCCCGAAACUUGCUUACCUCUCAUUGGCCAGCACCAUCACUUGACCACUUGUCCACUCCUAGCUGCAAGGAAAGUGGCAAAGUAGAAGGUAUUUGAGAAUGUCUGCUGGGUUAGCCAAAACAAUAGUGACUUCUACACCCAAUUUUCUGGGCACUGCAUAAGUAUCCUUGAUUCCUAUGUGAUCAGAGGGAGAGCAAACCUCAAUAAUGAAACAGAUUCAAUUUCCAUCACCCAGUGAGAUACCAUGGGAUUAGAAUAAAUUUUUAAAAAAACAAAUUGAAAAAAAUGCACUUUCAAAACAACAAAAUCAGAAAGGAUGAAAGGUGAUAUUUCUAGCAUAUCAGUUUGUGGUGGUAAAUUAAUUACCUUAUACAAAGGCCUCAGUGACUUUCUUCUCCUUACCUAACGAAUCAUCUUUAAAAUAAGUAAAAUAAAGAAACAAGAGCAGCAGCAGAUGCUUCCUAACAAGAAGUUACCAAAUCUGUUCACCACAAACCUGAGAAUUCAACUGUGGACAUUUGGACACCAGCAAUGAACAUGAAACUCAGCUUAUGAGGCAUAUUUGGCUAAAGGUCAAGGUGACUUAAAGUUCAUCAUAGGACAUCUACAAUUUGCAAAGCAGGUGACUGGAUAUGGACUCCUUCCAAGUCUCAUUUAAUUGGAUAAUGCCUACGUUUUAAGUAUCAGAAGUGAGUCUUUCUCUAUUAAAUGAAGUCAGUUCCACUAAAAUCUAAAUCUUGUUUGGCAGGCACUCCAUGUUUCUUAAUUUUUAUUCCAUGCUGUAUAUUCUUUUAGACUUGAUUUUCACUUUUUUUUCUUUUUUCCUGUAAGUUUAUCUUUGCUGUGAAACAAAGUGCCCUGCUUUGAAGGACAGGUUUGUGGGCUGCUGGUGGUGAGACAACAGCAGUCCUUCCAGGUCUUCCUCCCAUCACUGUGUUAGCUCUCCCUUUGUUUUUAAUUAGCAUUACACCAGUUAAUUCUGUUGUCUCUUAACCCUGGUUCUGCAUCCUCUUCUUUUCUAUUCCUUACUCUGCUCCUGUUUUUUCUUGUUCUGCUUUUCCAAGAAAUGUCUUCUCUCCUCAUCAGUUGACUGUCUUCUCUUUCCAGAGGGACCAUAAAGGUGCCAGCCUAAGGAACACGUAAAACGUGGGAACAGACAAACAAGCUGCUGCCUAUUACAGAGAUAGAUAAUUAACUUUGGACCAUUACAUGCAAUUCAUCAGCUUAUCUUUUUCAAACUUUAUGUAAGAAGUCAUUUCCCAAUGGUAACCACUUGCCAGCUGCAACUUUGACGCAUAUUAUCAGGAUAGGUGAGAUUGAUGGGGGCCCUUUGAACUCUUCCCAGGGAAUAAUCUUUAUAAUGUUACAGUUUUCUCUAUAGCAUGGUCAUAUUGUUAACAUUGGUUAUAAGGUCAUAUGGUUAGUAUGGUUAGUAUUGGUGGCUCACAGCUGUAAUACCAGCACUUUGAGAGGCCAAGGUGGGAGGAUCACUUGAGCCCUGGUGUUCAAAACCAGCCCUGGAAACAUAGCAAGACCUUGUGUCUACAAAAAAAAAUUAAAUAAAUUAAAAGAUUAGCUGGGCAUGGUGGCACAUGCCUGUAGUCCUCACUACUUGGGAAACUAAGGUGGGAGGAUCCCUUGAGCUUGGGAGGUUGAGGCUGCAGUGAGCUGCGGUUGUGCCAUGG
RNAcentral lists this long non-coding RNA (2183 nucleotides) under Pan troglodytes (chimpanzee). Its description in RNAcentral is "lincRNA". Lineage: Eukaryota; Metazoa; Chordata; Mammalia; Primates; Hominidae. The record is from RNAcentral.